RNAcentral lists this ribosomal RNA (495 nucleotides) under uncultured bacterium. RNAcentral's name for it is "partial 16S ribosomal RNA". It matches the Rfam family "Bacterial small subunit ribosomal RNA", at positions 28 to 507 of the family's 1533-position model. The record is from RNAcentral.
GACGAACGCUGGCGGCGUGCCUAAUACAUGCAAGUAGAACGCUGAAGGAGGAGCUUGCUUCUCUGGAUGAGUUGCGAACGGGUGAGUAACGCGUAGGUAACCUGCCUGGUAGCGGGGGAUAACUAUUGGAAACGAUAGCUAAUACCGCAUAAGAGUAGAUGUUGCAUGACAUUUACUUAAAAGGUGCAAUUGCAUCACUACCAGAUGGACCUGCGUUGUAUUAGCUAGUUGGUGAGGUAACGGCUCACCAAGGCAACGAUACAUAGCCGACCUGAGAGGGUGAUCGGCCACACUGGGACUGAGACACGGCCCAGACGCCUACGGGAGGCAGCAGUAGGGAAUCUUCGGCAAGGGACGGAAGUCUGACCGAGCAACGCCGCGUGAGUGAAGAAGGUUUUCGGAUCGUAAAGCUCUGUUGUAAGAGAAGAACGAGUGUGAGAGUGGAAAGUUCACACUGUGACGGUAUCUGACCAGAAAGGGACGGCUAACUACGUG